AAAUGAAUAGACGGGGGCCCGCACAAGCGGUGGAGCAUGUGGUUUAAUACGUCACUAACCGUAGAACCUUACCCAGGCUUGACAUCUGCUGAAAGCGCCUGAAAGGGUGGCCCUCUUGCCGAAAGGCAAGACAGCAAGACAGGUGUUGCAUGGCUGUCGUCAGCUCGUGUCGUGAGAUGUUGGGUUAAGUCCCGCAACGAGCGCAACCCCCAUCCGAUGUUGCCAGCGUAAAGACGGGAACUCUUCGGAAACUGCCCGUGUAAGCGGGAGGAAGGUGGGGAUGACGUCAAGUCAGCAUGGCCCUUACGCCUGGGGCUACACACAUGCUACAAUGGACGUGAACAAAGGGUUGCAAUACCGCGAGGUGGAGCCAAUCUCAGAAAUACGUCCUCAGUUCGGAUUGCAGUCUGCAACUCGACUGCAUGAAGUCGGAAUCGCUAGUAACCGCAGGUCAGCUAAACUGCGGUGAAUACGUUCCCGGGCCUUGUACACACCGCCCGU
Molecule: ribosomal RNA, 501 nt
Filed under: uncultured bacterium
Lineage: Bacteria
Description: bacterial SSU rRNA
Rfam family: Bacterial small subunit ribosomal RNA
Source: RNAcentral